GGUGUUGUGGCUUAGUGGUAGAGCAUCUGCUUCACAUGCAGAUGGUCCCUGGUUCAAUCCCUGGUAUCUCCA
Non-coding RNA from Heteronotia binoei (common prickly gecko), 72 nucleotides. The record is from the annotation of a RefSeq genome assembly. Lineage: Eukaryota; Metazoa; Chordata; Lepidosauria; Squamata; Gekkonidae.